AAUCAACGCUGGCGGCGUGCUUAACACAUGCAAGUCGAACGAUGAACCUCACUUGUGGGGGGAUUAGUGGCGAACGGGUGAGUAACACGUGAGUAACCUGCCCUUAACUCUGGGAUAAGCCUGGGAAACUGGGUCUAAUACCGGAUAUGACUCCUCAUCGCAUGGUGGGGGGUGGAAAGCUUUUUGUGGUUUUGGAUGGACUCGCGGCCUAUCAGCUUGUUGGUGAGGUAAUGGCUCACCAAGGCGACGACGGGUAGCCGGCCUGAGAGGGUGACCGGCCACACUGGGACUGAGACACGGCCCAGACUCCUACGGGAGGCAGCAGUGGGGAAUAUUGCACAAUGGGCGCAAGCCUGAUGCAGCGACGCCGCGUGAGGGAUGACGGCCUUCGGGUUGUAAACCUCUUUCAGUAGGGAAGAAGCGAAAGUGACGGUACCUGCAGAAGAACG
This 449-nucleotide ribosomal RNA is filed under the name uncultured bacterium. RNAcentral describes it as "bacterial SSU rRNA". It matches the Rfam family "Bacterial small subunit ribosomal RNA", at positions 32 to 491 of the family's 1533-position model. The record is from RNAcentral.